AUGCUUUUGUUUAGAGUAGUUUUGGAUAAGAAAAUUUGCACUCCAGAUCCGUCUAACUCACAUUUAAAAUUGAAAUCAAAAUGAAUUACAAUGAAAGUUGAGAUAGUCACAUUGUUCGAUAUCUUUAGUUUGUAAUUAGAAUAUGAAUUAUUAUAGUAUAAAAAAAAUUAUCAUUAAUCUCACAUUGAUCGUAAAUCAAGAGAGACUCUGAUUUAUAUAGAACUAAUCGAAAAGC
RNAcentral lists this long non-coding RNA (235 nucleotides) under Elaeis guineensis (African oil palm). Its description in RNAcentral is "long non-coding RNA (EGUI_LNC027929)". The record is from RNAcentral. Lineage: Eukaryota; Viridiplantae; Streptophyta; Magnoliopsida; Arecales; Arecaceae.